UACGGAGGGUCCAAGCGUUAUCCGGAAUCAUUGGGUUUAAAGGGUCCGUAGGCGGUUUUGUAAGUCAGUGGUGAAAGCCCAUCGCUCAACGGUGGAACGGCCAUUGAUACUGCAAGACUUGAAUUAUUGGGAAGCAACUAGAAUAUGUAAGUGUAGCGGUGAAAUGCUUAGAGAUUACGAUGGAAUUACCAAUUGCGAAGGCAGGUUGCU
This 210-nucleotide ribosomal RNA is filed under the name uncultured bacterium. Its description in RNAcentral is "partial 16S ribosomal RNA". It matches the Rfam family "Bacterial small subunit ribosomal RNA", at positions 524 to 730 of the family's 1533-position model. The record is from RNAcentral.